This 492-nucleotide ribosomal RNA is filed under the name uncultured bacterium. Its description in RNAcentral is "partial 16S ribosomal RNA". It matches the Rfam family "Bacterial small subunit ribosomal RNA", at positions 29 to 507 of the family's 1533-position model. The record is from RNAcentral.
AGUGAACGCUGGCGGUAGGCCUAACACAUGCAAGUCGAACGGCAGCACAGUAAGAGCUUGCUCUUACGGGUGGCGAGUGGCGGACGGGUGAGGAAUACAUCGGAAUCUACUUUUUCGUGGGGGAUAACGUAGGGAAACUUACGCUAAUACCGCAUACGACCUACGGGGGAAAGCAGGGGAUCUUCGGACCUUGCGCGAUUGAAUGAGCCGAUGACGGGUUAGCUAGUUGGCGGGGUAAAGGCCCACCAAGGCGACGAUCCGUAGCUGGUCUGAGAGGAUGAUCAGCCACACUGGAACUGAGACACGGUCCAGACUCCUACGGGACGCAGCAGUGGGGAAUAUUGGACAAAGGGCGCAAGCCUGAUCCAGCCAUCCCGCGUGGGUGAAGAAGGCCUUCGGGUUGUAAAGCCCUUUUGUUGGGAAAGAAAAGCAGCAGGUUAAUACCCCGCUGUUCUGACGGUACCCAAAGAAUAAGCACCGGCUAACUUCGUG